UGAAAAGAGUGAUAAAGAAGAUUUUAUCCUACUUAAGUUAUUAGCCUCAUUAUGGAUUAAAUUUUGGACUAAUCAACUAAUUCAAACAGCCAAACAUGCACAAGAUUAGAUUAAAUUUUUAUUUCGUCCCAAAAAUUAGUCCAAUCCUAUCUUUAAUUUAGUUUAGUACAAUGCUAUAGUAUAUCAAACACAAGAUAAAACCAAAUCUAAUAUAAUCUAAUCUUAUCAUAUCCUUCCAAAUACAACAUAAUUUUACAUAUUAUCCAAUCAUAACUUAUGUUAUUCGAUCUUAUCCUAUCUUACGUGCCAAACACUUCCUACUUGUUACGUGUGGCUAUUAUGUUGCCACUUUGAUGAAACAGACGUCAACAUGACAAUAUCCCAUCACGUAAAUCUUAAAAUUGUAGGCUAACAUCUUAAGAAGA
This 425-nucleotide long non-coding RNA is filed under the name Citrus x clementina. RNAcentral's name for it is "Citrus clementina (C. clementina) long non-coding RNA (CCLE_LNC006869)". The record is from RNAcentral. Lineage: Eukaryota; Viridiplantae; Streptophyta; Magnoliopsida; Sapindales; Rutaceae.